ACGUAGGCAGCAAGCGUUGUUCGGAAUUACUGGGCGUAAAGAGUGUGUAGGCGGUGUUCUAAGUCUGGUGUGAAAUCUCCCGGCUCAACUGGGAGGGUGCGCUAGAAACUGGAAUGCUAGAGGAUGGGAGAGGUAAGCGGAAUUCCUGGUGUAGCGGUGAAAUGCGUAGAUAUCAGGAGGAACAUCGAUGGCGAAGGCAGCCCCCUGGGCCUGUACUGACGCUCAUGCACGAAAGCGUGGGGAGCAAACAGGA
Molecule: ribosomal RNA, 253 nt
Filed under: uncultured prokaryote
Description: partial 16S ribosomal RNA
Rfam family: Bacterial small subunit ribosomal RNA
Source: RNAcentral